RNAcentral lists this ribosomal RNA (275 nucleotides) under uncultured bacterium. RNAcentral describes it as "partial 16S ribosomal RNA". It matches the Rfam family "Bacterial small subunit ribosomal RNA", at positions 399 to 691 of the family's 1533-position model. The record is from RNAcentral.
GCGUGAGUGAAGAAGGCCUUAGGGUUGUAAAGCUCUUUCAGUGGGGAAGAUAAUGACGGUACCCACAGAAGAAGCCCCGGCUAACUCCGUGCCAGCAGCCGCGGUAAGACGGAGGGGGCUAGCGUUGUUCGGAAUUACUGGGCGUAAAGCGCGCGUAGGCGGUCUGUUUAGUUAGGUGUGAAAGCCCCGAGCUCAACUCGGGAACUGCACUUAAUACUGGCAGACUGGAGUCCGGUAGAGGGUAGUGGAAUUCCCAGUGUAGAGGUGAAAUUCGU